RNAcentral lists this unclassified non-coding RNA (791 nucleotides) under Hevea brasiliensis (rubber tree). The record is from RNAcentral. Lineage: Eukaryota; Viridiplantae; Streptophyta; Magnoliopsida; Malpighiales; Euphorbiaceae.
AAAGAUAAUCAUAGAUGUUGCCAAGGUAAAGAGUGAUCGUCGGCGCGAUGGUUGUAGUGGUCCUGCAAAUACAGAUAAAGAAAAAAACAGGUUGCAAUCAGGUUCAUUAUAGUGUAAUAGAAUUGGUGAAUAUACAAAACACAGGCUAAGAAGAAAAAAAAUGAAUUUUAAGAUCAUCCUUGCCAUAGAUCCCCUUGAUAAAUAGUAAAAUAACCUAUCAAGUUGGGACAUAAUUAAAUCCUCUGAUGACCAAAAAGGAUAACAAGCAAUCUGUCAGCUGUGGCCCAUCAAAAGCAUGUCAAGCAAUUUGUUUCUCCUGAUGAUCUCUAGUUUACAACUAUUAUAACAACUCACCUGCAUUAUGAUUCUCCAACUUGAUCUUUCAGUGCAAAUACUACCUCACGAGUCAAGAGUUCUCAUGCUUAUUUUAUAUGAUCACCCUUGCCCAUUAAAGCAUCUCAAACAUUUUCCUUGCAUUAUAGUGAUCUAAUUUACCACUAGUAUUACAACUUGGAGGUAAAAGCAAUUCACACAGCUACUUCACCAUCAAUAUGAUUAUUCAACUUGAUCCUUUAAGUUAUUACUACAAUAAAAAGUUUACCUGAUCAUUUUCUAUUCACUACACACUAGUGAUUGUUUACUGGUAGGUGUACAGUUUGAAGGUACUCAAUCGUCAACUCUCUACUGCAUUACCAUUUUCAUGGAGCAAUAGAGUUUAAAAGGUUCAGACAAUUAGAUAGACUACAUAGUUAACAGUAGGUUCAAUUGAAAACAUUGGAUGCAGAAAAAGA